GCGCCUGCAAAAUCAGGCGUCGGGCUUGACCUCCUGAACCUCUUAGUGACGACACAAUGGCGCGUCUGCGCUUUUUUU
This 78-nucleotide small RNA is filed under the name [Enterobacter] lignolyticus SCF1. Its description in RNAcentral is "Enterobacter cloacae SCF1 isrK Hfq binding RNA". It matches the Rfam family "isrK Hfq binding RNA". The record is from Rfam by way of RNAcentral. Lineage: Bacteria; Pseudomonadati; Pseudomonadota; Gammaproteobacteria; Enterobacterales; Enterobacteriaceae.